RNAcentral lists this transfer RNA (70 nucleotides) under Etheostoma derivativum (stone darter). RNAcentral's name for it is "tRNA-Trp". It matches the Rfam family "tRNA". From Rfam's summary of the family: Transfer RNA (tRNA) molecules are approximately 80 nucleotides in length. The record is from RNAcentral. Lineage: Eukaryota; Metazoa; Chordata; Actinopteri; Perciformes; Percidae.
GGGACUUAGGUUAGCACAAGACCGAGGGCCUUCAAAGCCCUAGGCGAGAGUGAAAAUCUCCCAGCCCCUG